GACGAACGCUGGCGGCGUGCUUAACACAUGCAAGUCGAACGGAAAGGCCCUGCUUUUGUGGGGUGCUCGAGUGGCGAACGGGUGAGUAACACGUGAGUAACCUGCCCUUGACUUUGGGAUAACUUCAGGAAACUGGGGCUAAUACCGGAUAGGAGCUCCUGCUGCAUGGUGGGGGUUGGAAAGUUUCGGCGGUUGGGGAUGGACUCGCGGCUUAUCAGCUUGUUGGUGGGGUAGUGGCUUACCAAGGCUUUGACGGGUAGCCGGCCUGAGAGGGUGACUGGCCACAUUGGGACUGGGAUACGGCCCAGACUCCUACGGGAGGCAGCAGUGGGGAAUAUUGCACAAUGGGCGGAAGCCUGAUGCAGCAACGCCGCGUGCGGGAUGACGGCCUUCGGGUUGUAAACCGCUUUCGCCUGUGACGAAGCGUGAGUGACGGUAAUGGGUAAAGAAGCACCGGCUAACUACGUG
Molecule: ribosomal RNA, 468 nt
Filed under: uncultured bacterium
Lineage: Bacteria
Description: partial 16S ribosomal RNA
Rfam family: Bacterial small subunit ribosomal RNA
Source: RNAcentral